AUGGGUGACUUCAGUGAUAUACUUGAUCACUUAGAGAAGAAUAGUAAUGUUGUAUCGGACCAUCAUCGUAUGGCUAACUUUUCCAAUUAUGUGUAUGUGGUUUUAUUGAUAUGGGUUAUAAUGGUCCUGCUUUCAUAUAUAUGGUGCAAUAAGCGUUUCACUUCUAUUCCGACUUAUGAAAGGCUUGAUCAUUGCUUUCCUAAUACUGAAUGGUGCAAUAAUUUUCCUAAUACUUCUGCUUACAAUCUUCCUAUUAUGUAUAGUGAUCAUGCUCCAAUUCUUACUAUUUCUCAGCCUUUGACUAUCAAGAGUAAGAUAACUUUUAAAUUUGAAAAUUGGUGGUUUCUUAUAGAGGAUUAUUAUGAUACAGUUAAAACUAAUCGGAAUUGUACUAAUAACAAACCUUUCCAAGUUAGAACUGGUUUACUUGCAAGUUCUACUACUGAAGUAACAAGUGGAUGUAAUACAAGAAGAAAUUGGAGAAAUACAAUCUAG
RNAcentral lists this ribosomal RNA (495 nucleotides) under Triticum aestivum (bread wheat). Its description in RNAcentral is "partial small subunit ribosomal RNA". Lineage: Eukaryota; Viridiplantae; Streptophyta; Magnoliopsida; Poales; Poaceae. The record is from RNAcentral.